RNAcentral lists this ribosomal RNA (445 nucleotides) under uncultured bacterium. RNAcentral's name for it is "SSU rRNA". It matches the Rfam family "Bacterial small subunit ribosomal RNA", at positions 26 to 518 of the family's 1533-position model. The record is from RNAcentral.
AGAGCGAACGCUGGCGGCAGGCCUAACACAUGCAAGUCGAGCGCCCGUAGCAAUACGGGAGCGGCAGACGGGAUAGUAACACGUGGGAACGCGCCCUUCGGUUCGGAAUAACUCAGGGAAACUUGAGCUAAUACCGGAUACGCCCUUACGGGGAAAGAUUUAUUGCCGAAGGAACGGCCCACGUCCGAUUAGCUAGUUGGUGAGGUAAUGGCUCACCAAGGCGACGAUCGGUAGCUGGUCUGAGAGGAUGACCAGCAUCACUGGGACUGAGACACGGCCCAGACUCCUACGGGAGGAAGCAGUGGGGAAUAUUGGACAAUGGGCGCAAGCCUGAUCCAGCCAUGCCGCGUGGAUGAUGAAGGCCUUAGGGUUGUAAAGUCCUUUAACGGGGAAGAUAAUGACGGUACCGUAGAAUAAGCCCGGCUAACUUCGUGCCAGCAGCCGC